GGGGGGGGCAAGCGUUGUUCGGAAUUACUGGGCGUAAAGGGCGCGUAGGCGGUCCCGCAAGUCCUCCGUGAAAUCCCACAGCUCAACUGUGGAAUUGCGAGGGAAACUGCAGGACUUGAGUUCGGGAGAGGAGAGUGGAAUUCCCAGUGUAGCGGUGAAAUGCGUAGAUAUUGGGAGGAACACCGGUGGCGAAGGCGGCUCUCUGGACCGACACUGACGCUGAGGCGCGAAAGCUAGGGGAGCAAACGGGAUUAGAUACCCCGGGUAGUCCUAGCCCUAAACGAUGAGCACUUGGUGUGGCGGGUAUCGACCCCCUGCCGUGCCGAAGCUAACGCAUUAAGUGCUCCGCCUGGGGGAGUACGGUCGCAAGGCUG
This 374-nucleotide ribosomal RNA is filed under the name uncultured organism. RNAcentral's name for it is "partial 16S ribosomal RNA". It matches the Rfam family "Bacterial small subunit ribosomal RNA", at positions 527 to 896 of the family's 1533-position model. The record is from RNAcentral.